CCUACGGGUGGCAGCAGUGGGGAAUAUUGGGCAAUGGGCGCAAGCCUGACCCAGCAACGCCGCGUGAAGGAAGAAGGCUUUCGGGUUUUAAACUUCUUUUGUCAGGGAAGAGUAGAAGACGGUACCUGACGAAUCAGCCACGGCUAACUACGUACCAGCAGCCGCGGUAAUACGUAGGUGGCAAGCGUUGUCCGGAUUUACUGGGUGUAAAGGGCGUGUAGGCGGGUUGACAAGUCAGAUGUGAAAGCCUGGGGCUUAACCGCAGAACUGCAUUUGAAACUGUUGAUCUUGAGUACUGGAGAGGCAGACGGAAUUCCUAGUGUAGCGGUGAAAUGCGUAGAUAUUAGGAGGAACACCAGUGGCGAAGGCGGUCUGCUGGACAGCAACUGACGGUGAGGCGCGAAAGCGUGGGGAGCAAACAGGAUUAGAUACCCCAGUAGUC
This 442-nucleotide ribosomal RNA is filed under the name uncultured bacterium. RNAcentral's name for it is "partial 16S ribosomal RNA". It matches the Rfam family "Bacterial small subunit ribosomal RNA", at positions 338 to 795 of the family's 1533-position model. The record is from RNAcentral.